AUUGAACGCUGGCGGCAUGCCUUACACAUGCAAGUCGAACGGUAACAGGUCUUCGGAUGCUGACGAGUGGCGCACGGGUGAGUAAUACAUCGGAACGUGCCCGAUCGUGGGGGAUAACGAAGCGAAAGCUUUGCUAAUACCGCAUAAGAUCUACGGAUGAAAGCAGGGGACCGCAAGGCCUUGCGCGAACGGAGCGGCCGAUGGCAGAUUAGGUAGUUGGUGGGAUAAAAGCUUACCAAGCCGACGAUCUGUAGCUGGUCUUAGAGGACGACCAGCCACAAUUGGAAUGAAGCACCGCCCCAGAUACUUAGGGGGGGCAGAGUGGGGAAUUUUUGACAAUGGGGCAAAGCCUGAUCCAGCCCUGCCGGGUGCAAGAUGAAGGGCUUCCGGUUGGAAAACGCUUUUGUUCGGGAAGAAAAGAAUUUGGUUAAAUACUGGGGUCCAUGACGGUACCGUAAGAAUAAGCACCGGCUAACUACGUG
RNAcentral lists this ribosomal RNA (482 nucleotides) under uncultured bacterium. RNAcentral's name for it is "partial 16S ribosomal RNA". It matches the Rfam family "Bacterial small subunit ribosomal RNA", at positions 30 to 507 of the family's 1533-position model. The record is from RNAcentral.